This 1476-nucleotide ribosomal RNA is filed under the name Triticum aestivum (bread wheat). Its description in RNAcentral is "partial small subunit ribosomal RNA". Lineage: Eukaryota; Viridiplantae; Streptophyta; Magnoliopsida; Poales; Poaceae. The record is from RNAcentral.
AUGGCCGGCGAUGAGAACCAGCCGCUAAACGAUGCACGUGCCGACGGCGUGGAUGAGGACCAGCCGGCGCGCCUGCCCGACGACGUGAUCGCGGACGUCCUCCGCCGCGUCCCGCCACUCUGGCUCGCCGCCUCCCGCUGCGUCUGCAGGGCCUGGCGCGACACCAUCGAUGCGCACCGCCUCCUGCGCGCCGACCUGCUCCCGCUCUCGCUGGCCGGCCUCUUCAUCCACUUCAACGAGCACAAAUAUCCCGAGUUUUUCGCCCGUCCCUCCUCCGUGGACGGCGCCCAUGCGGUCAGCGGCAACCUCAGCUUCCUGCCCUCCCCUGCCCCUCACGCCGGCGGUAUAUGGGACAACUGUGAUGAUUGGUACGACUACUACAUCCACGAUCAUUGCAACGGGCUCCUCUUGCUUGGCAAUAACUGCGUGGUUAACCCUGCCACACGCCAAUGGAGUACUCUACCAACGUGCCCGGUCAAGGGUCGUACAGGGAGGGUGUCCUACAGUGAGCACCUAGUUUAUGAUCCCACAGUAUCACCACACUACGAGGUGUUUAUGAUCCCUUUCUUGGAAGGCAAUCCUUACGGACACGAUGUAGACCCCUUGACGGAGGAUUCUGAAUGGCCACCGUCCCAAUGUAAGAUGUAUGUAUUCUCAUCAAUCUCUGGAUGUUGGGAGGAUAGGUAUUUCUACCGAGAAGGGGCGGCUGCUGGGAUCGUCGGCGACAUGCCGGAAGUUUUCAUGCAUUUCAAUGCUGUCUAUUUCCGAAGAGCACUUUAUGUACACGUCGGAGCUGGUUUUGUUAUGAGAAUAUCAUUGUCCGGUAACACGUACAGUGUAAUUGAACCACCCGUUGACACCACUAGCAACUAUAUGGAUGCUCACGUUGUAAGAUCAAAAUAUGGAGUCUACUUUGUGGCUUUCGAGAACUCCCGCCGUCUGGAUAAGUAUCGGCUUAGAGUUUGGAUCCUUAAUGAAUCAUGUGAAGAGACAAAGUGGAUGCUGAAGCAUGACAAAGACCUUAAGCCCGUGCUAGCACGUCACCGGUCCGACCAACGAGCCCAUGGACCCUGGAUCUUAGAAGAUAUUAACUACGACCUGUUUCAUUCUUCUCGUUCUCCGAAAGACAUCAAGGAAGCAUCAACUAAAGACAUACAUGAAUGGAACUCUGACGAUGAUAAUGAUGAUGUUGAAGAUUGUUACUGCAAUAAAGAGAGUUGCAAGGAGACAUAUGAUAUCGAGAUUCUCGGGUUUCACCCCCAUAAAGAGAUUGUGUUCCUGAGUGAAUCGGUGCAUACAGGACUGGCCUAUCAUUUAAAUGGAUCAAAGAUUGAAGUCUUAGGAAAUAUAUACCCAAAGGAUUGUCUUAAGUUCAAAACGAUAUUGAAUGAAAGGGAGUGGAUCGCACCCUUUCCAUACACGCCAUGUUGGAUUGAAGAGUUUCCCGGGAACAACUAUAGUAAACUAGUCUUGUAG